GGCCACCUCCCACCCGUGUUGCCCGAACCUAUGUUGCCUCGGCGGGCCCCGCGCCCGCCGACGGCCCCCCUGAACGCUGUCUGAAGUUGCAGUCUGAGACCUAUAACGAAAUUAGUUAAAACUUUCAACAACGGAUCUCUUGGUUCCGGCAUCGAUGAAGAACGCAGCGAAAUGCGAUAACUAAUGUGAAUUGCAGAAUUCAGUGAAUCAUCGAGUCUUUGAACGCACAUUGCGCCCUCUGGUAUUCCGGAGGGCAUGCCUGUCCGAGCGUCAUUGCUGCCCUCAAGCCCGGCUUGUGUGUUGGGCCCCGUCCCCCCCGCCGGGGGGACGGGCCCGAAAGGCAGCGGCGGCACCGCGUCCGGUCCUCGAGCGUAUGGGGCUUCGUCACCCGCUCUAGUAGGCCCGGCCGGCGCCAGCCGACCCCCAACCUUUAAUUAUCUCAGGUUGACCUCGGAUCAGGUAGGGAUACCCGCUGAACUUAAGCAUAUCAAUAAGCGGAGG
RNAcentral lists this ribosomal RNA (501 nucleotides) under Penicillium sp. M35. RNAcentral's name for it is "eukaryotic LSU rRNA". The stretch from base 120 to 273 matches the Rfam family "5.8S ribosomal RNA". Lineage: Eukaryota; Fungi; Ascomycota; Eurotiomycetes; Eurotiales; Aspergillaceae. The record is from RNAcentral.